GAUGAACGCUGGCGGCGUGCCUAAUACAUGCAAGUCGAGCGAACAGACGAGGAGCUUGCUCCUCUGACGUUAGCGGCGGACGGGUGAGUAACACGUGGAUAACCUACCUAUAAGACUGGGAUAACUUCGGGAAACCGGAGCUAAUACCGGAUAAUAUAUUGAACCGCAUGGUUCAAUAGUGAAAGACGGUUUUGCUGUCACUUAUAGAUGGAUCCGCGCCGCAUUAGCUAGUUGGUAAGGUAACGGCUUACCAAGGCAACGAUGCGUAGCCGACCUGAGAGGGUGAUCGGCCACACUAGAACUGAGACACGGUCCAGACUCCUACGGGAGGCAGCAGUAGGGAAUCUUCCGCACUGGGCGAAAGCCUGACGGAGCACCGCCGCGUGAGUGAUGAAGGUCUUCGGAUCGUAAAACUCUGUUAUUAGGGAAGAACAAAUGUGUCAGUAACUAUGCACGUCUUGACGGUACCUAAUCAGAAAGCCACGGCUAACUACGUG
Molecule: ribosomal RNA, 497 nt
Filed under: uncultured bacterium
Lineage: Bacteria
Description: partial 16S ribosomal RNA
Rfam family: Bacterial small subunit ribosomal RNA
Source: RNAcentral